This 433-nucleotide ribosomal RNA is filed under the name uncultured bacterium. RNAcentral's name for it is "partial 16S ribosomal RNA". It matches the Rfam family "Bacterial small subunit ribosomal RNA", at positions 29 to 507 of the family's 1533-position model. The record is from RNAcentral.
AACGAACGCUGGCGGCAUGCCUAACACAUGCAAGUCGAACGAGACCUUCGGGUCUAGUGGCGCACGGGUGCGUAACGCGUGGGAACCUGCCCUUAGGUUCGGAAGAACUCCCCGAAAGGGGUGCUAAUACCGGAUAAUGUCUUCGGACCAAAGAUUUGUCGCCUUUGGAUGGGCCCGCGUUGGAUUAGCUAGUUGGUAGGGUAAAAGCCUACCAAGGCGACGAUCCAUAGCUGGUCUGAGAGGAUGAGCAGCCACACUGGGACUGAGACACGGCCCAGACUCCUACGGGAGGGAGCAGUGGGGAAUAUUGGACAAUGGGCGAAAGCCUGAUCCAGCAAUGCCGCGUGAGUGAUGAAGGCCUUAGGGUUGUAAAGCUCUUUUAACCGGGAUGAUAAUGACAGUACCGGGAGAAUAAGCUCCGGCUAACUCCGUG